RNAcentral lists this long non-coding RNA (673 nucleotides) under Felis catus (domestic cat). RNAcentral's name for it is "lncRNA (ENSFCAG00000042091.2)". The record is from RNAcentral. Lineage: Eukaryota; Metazoa; Chordata; Mammalia; Carnivora; Felidae.
GUAUGCUUAGGGCAGCCUGCUUGGUCUGAUACUGGCUCUCAAGGACGAGGUCAGGCAGACGGAACAAGGACACUGCCCACAGGCUGCAGUGUGUGGGAAGGGGGGCGGGUGGAGACCGGAGGAGAGAAGAGGCUGAAAGCUAGCUCUAGUUCUGUGCCAGGGAAUGCGUGGUCUUCUUUGGUCCUAACCCCCACAGCAACCUGGCUAGGUAAUUAUUGCUAUUUUCUUUUUACAAAAGGUGAAACUGAGUCUCUGCCUGGCUUUAAAGUCCUUGCUGUUUCAUGUAUACACUUCUCUCACAUGGAAGGAAGAGUUCAAUUGCCAAGCUGGAAAGAGGUGGUGAUGCUCAGUGGAGAGUGCCUGGUUUCUAGCUCCAACCAUGUGACUUCAGCAGGUGCUCCCCACCAUCCCAUCCCCACGCAAAGAUCUGGCUUCCAGCUCCAACACUGCCACCAGAUGGCCAACUGUUCUUAGGCCAGUGGUCUAACCUCUCUGGGCUUCAGCUUCAUCAUCCCUUGUUAGAUGUGCUCUGCCUACCUCACGGGACUGGACUGCUGAGUGGAACAAAUGAGGUAAGGAUAUAAGAAUUUUUUGGAGAAUUAAAAACACAGAGCUAAAGUCAAAAAGAGUCAAAAGCAAUAAACUCAGGACUGGCCUAAGAUAAAAGGUGAAA